This 1040-nucleotide ribosomal RNA is filed under the name Pseudomonas salomonii. Its description in RNAcentral is "bacterial SSU rRNA". It matches the Rfam family "Bacterial small subunit ribosomal RNA", at positions 342 to 1369 of the family's 1533-position model. Lineage: Bacteria; Pseudomonadati; Pseudomonadota; Gammaproteobacteria; Pseudomonadales; Pseudomonadaceae. The record is from RNAcentral.
CGGGAGGCAGCAGUCGUGUAAUUAUUGUAUCAAUGGGCGAAAGCAUGACUCAUGCCAUGCAGCGUGAGUGAAGAACGUCGUCGUAUGUUAAGCACUUUAAGUUGGGAGGAAUCGCAUUGACUCUAAUAAGUUAGUGUUGUGACGUUACGGACAGAAAAAACACGCGCUAUCUCUGUGCCCAGCAGGCGCGGUAAUACAGAGGGUGCGAGCGUUCAUCAAUAUUACUGGGUGUAAAGCGCGCGUAGGUUGUUUGUUUAUGUAAGAUGUGAAAUCCCCGCGCUCAACCUGGGAACUACAUUCAAAACUGACUGCAUAGAGUAUGGUAGAGGGUGGGGGAAUUUCUUGUGUAGCGGUGAAAUGCGUAGAUAUAGGAAGGAACACCUGUGGCGAAGGCGACCACCUGGACUAAUACUGACAUUGAGGUGAGAAAGCGUGGGGAGCACACAGGAUUAGAUACCCUGGUAGUCCCCCCCGUAAACGAUGUCAACUAGCCGUGGGGAGCCUUGAGCUUUUAGUGGCGCAGCUAACGCAUUAAGUUGACCGCCUGGGGAGUACGGCCGCAAGGUUAAAACUCAAAUGAAUUGACGGGGGCCCGCACAAGCGGUGGAGCAUGUGGUUUAAUUAGAAGCAACGCGAAGAACCUUACCAGGCCUUGACAUCCAAUGAACUUUCUAAAGAUAGAUUGGUUCCUUGGGGAACAUUGAAACAGGUGCCGCAUGGCGGUUGUCAGCUCGCGUCUUGAGAUGUUGGGUUAAGUCCCGAAACGAGCGCAACCCUUGUCCUUAGUUACCAGCACGUAAUGGUGGGCACUCUAAGGAGACUGCCGGUGACAAACCGGAGGAAGGUGGGGAUGACGUCAAGUCAUCAUGGCCCUUACGGCUUGGGCUACACACGUGCUACAAUGGUCGGUACAGAGGGUUGCCAAGCCGCGAGGUGGAGCUAAUCCCACAAAACCGAUCGUAGUCCGGAUCGCAGUCUGCAACUCGACUGCGUGAAGUCGGAAUCGCUAGUAAUCGCGAAUCAGCAGGCGCGGUCCCCGG